AUCACUUCUCGGCCUUUUGGCUAAGAUCAAGUGUAGUAUCUGAUGUUUGCACACUAUUAAGACUUAUUUAGGUGUCCUGCACACCCAUCUACGCACAGCAGUCUCGGGCUUGACAUUUCAACCUGAGGAGGUGCCCUAUUU
Molecule: small nuclear RNA, 141 nt
Organism: Lynx canadensis (Canada lynx)
Lineage: Eukaryota; Metazoa; Chordata; Mammalia; Carnivora; Felidae
Gene: U2
Rfam family: U2 spliceosomal RNA
About the family: U2 is a small nuclear RNA (snRNA) component of the spliceosome (involved in pre-mRNA splicing).
Source: Ensembl